GACGAACGCUGGCGGCGUGCUUAACACAUGCAAGUCGAACGGAAAGGCCCUGCUUUUGUGGGGUGCUCGAGCGGCGAACGGGUGAGUAACACGUGAGUAACCUGCCCUUGACUUUGGGAUAACUUCAGGAAACUGGGGCUAAUACCGGAUAGGAGCUCCUGCUGCAUGGUGGGGGUUGGAAAGUUUCGGCGGUUGGGGAUGGACUCGCGGCUUAUCAGCUUGUUGGUGGGGUAGUGGCUUACCAAGGCUUUGACGGGUAGCCGGCCUGGGAGGGUGACCGGCCACAUUGGGACUGAGAUACGGCCCAGACUCCUACGGGAGGCAGCAGUGGGGAAUAUUGCACAAUGGGCGGAAGCCUGAUGCAGCAACGCCGCGUGCGGGAUGACGGCCUUCGGGUUGUAAACCGCUUUCGCCUGUGACGAAGCGUGAGUGACGGUAAUGGGUAAAGAAGCACCGGCUAACUACGUG
Molecule: ribosomal RNA, 468 nt
Filed under: uncultured bacterium
Lineage: Bacteria
Description: partial 16S ribosomal RNA
Rfam family: Bacterial small subunit ribosomal RNA
Source: RNAcentral